CGUCGAGCUACUACGGUAGUGAAGUCAUUGAUGCCAUGCUUCCAGGAAAAGCCUCUAAGCUUCAGAUUGUAAGGAAUCGUACCCCAAACCGACACAGGUGGUCGGGUAGAGAAUACCAAGGCGCUUGAGAGAACUCGGGUGAAGGAACUAGGCAAAAUGGUACCGUAACUUCGGGAGAAGGUACGCUCUUGAUGGUGAAGUCCCUUGCGGAUGGAGCUGACGAGAGUCGCAGAUACCAGGUGGCUGCAACUGUUUAUUAAAAACACAGCACUGUGCAAAAUCGUAAGAUGACGUAUACGGUGUGACGCCUGCCCGGUGCCGGAAGGUUAAUUGAUGGGGUUAGCGUAAGCGAAGCUCUUGAUCGAAGCCCCGGUAAACGGCGGCCGUAACUAUAACGGUCCUAAGGUAGCGAAAUUCCUUGUCGGGUAAGUUCCGACCUGCACGAAUGGCGUAAUGAUGGCCACGCUGUCUCCACCCGAGACUCAGUGAAAUUGAAAUCGCUGUGAAGAUGCAGUGUACCCGCGGCUAGACGGAAAGACCCCGUGAACCUUUACUACAGCUUGGCACUGAACAUUGAACCUACAUGUGUAGGAUAGGUGGGAGGCUUUGAAGACGUGACGCCAGUUGCGUUGGAGCCGUCCUUGAAAUACCACCCUUGUAUGUUUGAUGUUCUAACGUUGGCCCCUAAUCGGGGUUGCGGACAGUGCCUGGUGGGUAGUUUGACUGGGGCGGUCUCCUCCCAAAGAGUAACGGAGGAGCACGAAGGUGGGCUAAUCACGGUUGGACAUCGUGAGGUUAGUGCAAUGGCAUAAGCCCGCUUAACUGCGAGAAUGACGGUUCGAGCAGGUGCGAAAGCAGGUCAUAGUGAUCCGGUGGUUCUGAAUGGAAGGGCCAUCGCUCAACGGAUAAAAGGUACUCCGGGGAUAACAGGCUGAUACCGCCCAAGAGUUCAUAUCGACGGCGGUGUUUGGCACCUCGAUGUCGGCUCAUCACAUCCUGGGGCUGAAGUCGGUCCCAAGGGUAUGGCUGUUCGCCAUUUAAAGUGGUACGCGAGCUGGGUUUAGAACGUCGUGAGACAGUUCGGUCCCUAUCUGCCGUGGGCGUUGGAAGAUUGAAGGGGGCUGCUCCUAGUACGAGAGGACCGGAGUGGACGAACCUCUGGUGUUCGGGUUGUGUCGCCAGACGCAUUGCCCGGUAGCUAAGUUCGGAAUCGAUAACCGCUGAAAGCAUCUAAGCGGGAAGCGAGCCCUGAGAUGAGUCUUCCCUGAUACUUUAAGUAUCCUGAAGGGUUGUUCGAGACUAGAACGUUGAUAGGCAGGGUGUGUAAGCGCUGUGAGGCGUUGAGCUAACCUGUACUAAUUGCCCGUGAGGCUUAACCAUACAACAC
RNAcentral lists this ribosomal RNA (1387 nucleotides) under Vibrio vulnificus. RNAcentral describes it as "partial 23S ribosomal RNA". It matches the Rfam family "Bacterial large subunit ribosomal RNA", at positions 1567 to 2925 of the family's 2925-position model. Lineage: Bacteria; Pseudomonadati; Pseudomonadota; Gammaproteobacteria; Vibrionales; Vibrionaceae. The record is from RNAcentral.